GGGGAGCCGGAGGAGGAGACUCGACCAAGACAAAGGCCCAUUGAGAAGUUCCCCCGUGCAGGGAUCCUUGUGGCUGACAGACAGGGGGAGACGUGGACUCCACCUCUCAGCCAGAACUCAUUUCUGCCAGUGGACACAUCACAGAAAACCAGUCAGCAGAGAAGGAAUAUCCAAUGAUAGAAACGAUUGAACCGGAUCUCUUUUCUUGGACGGACGGUUUUCCUGAUCCACAAUCGUCUGCCGCAGACCCUCAAAUCCAUCCCCGCCUCCACCGACCACACCUCCAGCUUCGUCUCCUAAGAAAACGAUGUCUCCGGAGUACGAAGUCAACGAAAAGCAGCCUGGAGCGAAUCAAGCACACAUCUCAACCGCCAAGUCCCUGAUCUCCCAUUGUGAAUGAUUCCGAGCCGUCCUCCGCGCUACAGGGCAAGAUGGCGAGGAACACCCAGCGUUCCAAAGUGGAGGUGCCACGCACAGACCUCCUUGGGGACAUCUGUCUGCCAGGCAGCUAAGCCCCCGAGCCGAGAUCCUUCACACCCUUCAGAGCUCGUAUUCGUCCCGCCCGCGCAGGUCAUCCAUAAUAUCCAAAUGUGUUUGCUUAGGGAGAACUGUGACUUUUGCCUGUUUUCCCUCAUUAGUCAAAAGGCUGCGGCGGGAUAGGCCUCCCAUUCAGAGCGAGACCCAAACCAGAGGUCGCGCUCAUGUCUGCUCAUUUCUGCUUUUAACAGGUUGGACAUCUCAGAGGCACGGGUUCAUUUUGUUUUCACUACAGGGGUAUUGACCAGUAAUGGCACCCUAGGGAGGACUGGACUAAUAUGUAAGAGCUUUCAGCCUCAGCAGAUAUCUGGGACAAAGAUUUGGGUUGUCUAAUGUUGCAUUAUUAUUCGUUAUGAAACAGGAUGAGAUGAAAACAAAUUUGAAAUGUGGCUUGAAAAUAGCGUUUCUCCUUUGAAUGCAAACGUUUUUAUGGUAUUGAAUAUAAUCCAAAAUCUGUUGUGCAGAUGCUUCCCCUUCCCUUCUCUCUCUCUGCCAUCAGAAACCUCUGUCCUUCCCUUGAACAGAAGAGCACAUCCAUAAAUCACCUCCCAUCCAAAUAAUCUCAUAAACCUUUUUACAGUGUAAUUCAUGGCCAUCACCAUUCUGUGUUUAACAUUUGUGUUUAUUGACAAAUGAAGAUAGGUUUAAAUAAUUCAGACCAAACAUUAGCUGUGAGCAGGGAGAUUAAUAAUUGAUGGGGUGUGUGAAGGGCCGGGGCACUCUGGGAAUAGAUAAUAUUAGCUUAAUGCAUGGCUGUGUGAACAGGGGAAGUGUAAUGGACCCACCGCCUUUAACUGAUGAUGGUUAUUGUGGCCUGAAAGUUGUUACAAAAGGGAGAAAAGGCGCGCAAAGGGGGGAGGGGUUGGAGUAUGGUCAUAGAUUUGGCUCAUAGAAGCUGACAGUGCAAAUUGUGGUUUUAAUAGCAGGAGGUUUACACAUUCUACAGAGAGGCCCUAAUGGCCAUUCCUUUGCUUAGCGUAAAGGGAGAAAAAUGGCCCUGUGCUAUUAAAAUGAAACUUGAGAAGGUCCUCGCUCUUAGUUUGGUGUUUUCCUUUUUCCCCAGUCGAACUCUGUCUCUCCAUCACUCAUUUGGAUCCCCUCCUGUCCAUUUCCUGCUCGGGGUCUCACUUAAGUCUGCCCACACACCCUCAAAAAUACAGCGGCUCACAAAGUGAGAGCAAUGACCCCGUGUGUGACAGGCAGCCUCAUUUCACACGGAAAACUGAGGACAUGACCCGGUCACUAACAAAGUCUGAGGCUGUGCGGCAGAUAAUAUUUUGAGAACAAUCUCUGCUUAACAUUAAUUAUGGAUAAACGAAGACUAUGCAACCUGAAUUGGAAACAUUCUCUGACCAUCUGAGACCGCACUAUCGUCCCCCAGAGAAGCGCACGAUAUUGUACAACACGUAGAACAAAGCCGUGUUAUUGAGGCAUCAUUAUUGUACACAGUAGCACAACCCAGCAAUGUUAGAUAUUAUCCAUAUGCUUAUGUUAAUGGCUGCUCAGUGCCUGCAGGUCAGCCUGCAACAAAAGGGCCUCAUUUACUCUCCAAGGGAUACUAUCUGUGUUGUGCCAGGAUAGUAAAAAAGAUGCAGAGGGGUAAUGUGUAUCAAAGGCAGAGGAGGACCCCCUUCAUUCCAUAUUGCUUUCACAGCAGCAUAUUAGCAUCUAAACAAAGGAAGUAGAAACCCCUGCAGCGCAGCACUGUUUCAAGUGGUCACUCACAGCCUUUUUUUUGUUUCUCCAUCCGACACAUUUUACGCUGAGUAGCAGAACUGAACACACUUCUCCCCACUUCAUCGUCGGAUAGCAUGUGUCUUCAGCACAAAAGUGUUGAAGUUGCUGCUUCUUCUCUUUUCGUUCCCUCCCGCUCUCUCUUGUUUGACUUCAUCACAGAACUACUAUGACAGCUGUCAUCACUCCUCAGCAGGCCUCAGAUCUGCAUUUCAAGGUUUGCAGGUUCACCGGUUCACAAGGCUCUGCCGGGGCAGACAAUACUGGUAGUGUGUGUGAUCCCCAUGCUUCUGAUGCGUCCCUCUCAUAAACACAUACGGGCAUCGCACCACCAUGACAUGUGACAGUGUAGCGUCUUAGCUACUUUUACCAACUACUUGGCUACUUGUGGUACUGUUGGUACUCGUAGUAAAGCUAUGCACAUUGCGAUACGAUUUGUUGAUGACAUAUUUAUGUCGUAAUGGAGAAGGAAUACAGUUCACGAUAUGGCUACUAUGGAGCCCACCCCCGUUUUAAAGGCUUUGGGCUGUGCAGAGAAAUGCUGAAAGGAGCUGUAAGCCAGGACCAAAGAGUGAGUGUCUACACCGGAUUGAGAGGGAUUGUUUGUUGGAGUUUCAUGGACAAUAAAAAAGUUAUUAAUAUUGGUGCAGCAGAACUGAUCAUAUUGUCUCUUUCAUUUAUUGUAUUCUUCAUCCUUGUCAAAAGCUUUGCCCACAGGCAGUUCAGCAGUAUGUAAUAUAGCCUUAAGACAGGUAGAGGAGUGGUUAGCUCAAACCUGUAGAGGUCAGCCCUAACUCACGCCGACUCAGGCGACAUCAUUAGCGGCAGAUUUCCCUCUGGAGCCAUAACAGUGUGUUCUUUGUUCACACAUGUAUGCAGUAGUUCUCACUAAUAAACUUUAAUCUCUAACAUUGGUGGAUUUCCUAUAUUUUUCCUUUAAACCG
This is a long non-coding RNA of Gasterosteus aculeatus aculeatus (three-spined stickleback), 3215 nucleotides long. The record is from Ensembl. NCBI's taxonomy places the organism in Eukaryota, Metazoa, Chordata, Actinopteri, Perciformes, Gasterosteidae.